This 501-nucleotide ribosomal RNA is filed under the name uncultured bacterium. RNAcentral describes it as "partial 16S ribosomal RNA". It matches the Rfam family "Bacterial small subunit ribosomal RNA", at positions 28 to 523 of the family's 1533-position model. The record is from RNAcentral.
GAUGAACGCUGGCGGCAUGCCUUACACAUGCAAGUCGAACGGCAGCACGGGUGCUUGCACCUGGUGGCGAGUGGCGAACGGGUGAGUAAUACAUCGGAACGUACCUUAUCGUGGGGGAUAACGCAGCGAAAGCUGUGCUAAUACCGCAUACGCCCUGAGGGGGAAAGCGGGGGAUCGCAAGACCUCGCGCGAUUAGAGCGGCCGAUGCCUGGUUAGCUUGUUGGUGGGGUGAAAGCCCACCAAGGCGACGAUCAGUAGAUGGUCUGAGGGGACGAUCAGCCCAACGGGGACUGAGACACGGCCCAGACUCCUACGGGAGGCAGCAGUGGGGAAUUUUGGACAAUGGGGGCAACCCUGAUCCAGCAAUGCCGCGUGAGUGAAGAAGGCCUUCGGGUUGUAAAGCUCUUUUGUCAGGGAAGAAACACCGGCUCUAACACAGUCUGGGAAUGACGGUACCUGAAGAAUAAGCACCGGCUAACUACGUGCCAGCAGCCGCGGUAA